Molecule: ribosomal RNA, 157 nt
Filed under: uncultured bacterium
Lineage: Bacteria
Description: partial 16S ribosomal RNA
Rfam family: Bacterial small subunit ribosomal RNA
Source: RNAcentral
UGAGGAAUAUUGGUCAAUGGGAGAGAUCCUGAACCAGCCAAGCCGCGUGAGGGAAGACGGCACUACGUGUUGUAAACCUCUUUUGCCGGGGAACAAAAGCGGGGACGCGUCCCCGUCCGCGUGUACCCGGAGAAAAAGCAUCGGCUAACUCCGUGCC